Mustela erminea (ermine) is the source of this 3100-nucleotide long non-coding RNA. RefSeq lists it as uncharacterized. The record is from RefSeq and is a predicted model, not a curated record. Lineage: Eukaryota; Metazoa; Chordata; Mammalia; Carnivora; Mustelidae. The transcript has 3 exons.
GGAGCAGGUGUGCAGGCCUUGGGUCAGAGGUGCCUUCUUAUCUCCACCUGACAACACUUCCCCACUCUGGCUCCACGAGAUCUGAAGUUUUGAAAUCAGUGUCUGAAUCAGUCAGGCGGCUGGUCAUGUCACAGGACAUCAGCGUUCAGAGAAAGCAGCAGUACCUUGGGCACAAUGUCACAUCCACGUCAGGACGAGAGGUGAGGAAUCACUAAACCCGAGCCCCGAAGCAAAGGCAUGAACGCUGCAUGGAAACUACCUGGAAUUGAAGUCAGUGAAGAAAAGACAAGACCGUGUUCUGCUUCAUGAAGAGUGAGGAAGAUGUUGCUGUGGCUGAGGUCGAAGAGGUUGCUGCCUGUGUUCUCCUCAAGGAUUUUGAUGGAUUCCUUUCCAAGGAGUGGGAUUUUGUGGCAUCACUAUAAGAGUUGGUCCACCAGGAGUGGGCAAGUCCCCUUCUGCUGCUGAGAAUUGUGUCUCUAGCGGUUGGAGUGUGUAUUACAAGCCUAGAGGUCAAUGCUGAGGUGGUUACAGUGGUGAGCAGGCUAUUGUUAUUGAUGAUUUUUAAGGGUGAAUUCCAUUGGAUGAUAUCUUAGAUCUUAUGGUCAGGGAUCCUCAUUAAGUGCCCAGAAAGGUGUUUUUUCUGAGUUUCAUAUUUGAUUUCUUUUUCUUACUUCUAAUAGUUCUCCUUGUACUUGAUGUUCCAAUGAGCAGUACAUUACAACAUUGCCUGCAUUUUACUCGUGUGUUAAUGAGGAUUUGAAAAAGGAAAAUGUUGUCAAUACUUCCAGAAAUUGUACACUGGAACAGCCAAAUAAUAAAACUUCAUUUUUGACACAAAAAGGAAAUACCCUGCUGUGAUUCUUAGUUUAAAGCAGGGGAGAAGGCCCUCUUUCGGUAUUGGUAAUGAGUACCAUAGGCCUUCCUAGGGAACAUUAUCAGAUUCUGUUGUAAACUUGGUCUUUGUUAUUGUGGAAGAAUCAGGAGUCAACCAAUUAUUUGUCUCCCGUUUCAUUUUCCAUGGACAUUUCCAUGAUAAUUUGGUUUCACACCUCUACCAUUAUGAGAUCAUCCUAACUUUAGCACCAGCUCACCCUUCUCUCCCAAGGGUAUGUUUUGGCCAAGACAAAAGCCACUUCUGGGUGACUGGGAGACUGCAAGACCAGAAUUUGGUCAGUAGGGAAUUACUGGGUUCCUAAAUUCCAAACCAGCUCCUGACACCCAGAUGAAAUACAUUGCAGAUUUAGAAAGGUCAGAUAGAAAUUUUUGUGUCCUUGGUAACAACUGAAGAAAAUGUGUCAUCCCUAAACCUAACAUUAACCCCUAACUUUAAUGCUGAAACCUAACCUAACCUUAAAGCCCAGACUGGAAGGAACCCUGAAUGCCAAACCUAAAAUUGAACCCGAAGCCUGGACUCUGAACCUGAGUCCUGGAUCCAAGCCCUGAACCAUGAACCUAAAUCCUAAACCAGAACUCUGAGUCAUGAACCCUGAACCCAAGUCCCAGCAUGAACCCAAACCCCAAAUUUGACCUUGAACUUUAUCCCAUAAGCCCUGAGUGUUAAGACCUAACUCAUAAACCUAAAGCCCUAAAGUGUAACUGUUCCUUUGCCCCUCGCUCUAACUCCUCACCCCGACCCUAAACCUUAACCCUGAUCUCAAACUCUGACUGAAACCUGAACCUGAAACUGAAUUCUAAUCCUUCACCACACUUUGUUUAUGCAUUCUCCAUUGAUGGAUAUUUGCAGUUUCUACCUUUUGAUUCUUGUGAACAUUGUUUGGUUUGGGGGCUAGGGUUAGGGUCUUGGGUUGGGGUCAGGGCCAGGCUUGAGAGCAAGUUGAGAUCAGAAUGUGGGUCUGCUUCAGGGCCAGUGUCAUCAUGUUCGAUGCUACUCUUUGGGUCAGGGGCUGUUGUAAUUCCAUAUUGUUUCCAAGUCAUUGUUCUUUAGCAAGUUUUGGAGAAGCUGGGGGAUAUUGGGCUUCAUGCAGCUUGAAUUUCCAGAACGAAAUGGCUUCAACUAGACCCUCUGAGGGAGCAGGUGCUUCCAUUGAAGGGUGAGCUCCCCUAGUCCUGCACUGCCCUACACUGCCUGUAGAGGGCGCCAUACCCCCAGCUCCCGCCCUGAGCCUGGCAUGUGCAGCCACCCCUGGGACAGGAGCCUGGCCUCCUCAAGACCCACUGUGGAGGCUUCUGGAGGAUGUGGGGCUGCUCCCACCCUGACAGGACCAGCCAUGGAGGAUGUGGGUUUAUAUCCACACAGACAGGACCCGCUGUGGAGGACGUGGAGCUGCAUCCACACUGACAGCAGUGCAGCCUCCUCAGGACCAGCUGCUGGAGGGGAAGGUGAGAAGAAACCACCUGAGCAGGGACUGGCGAGGAGGUGCGUGGUCUCAGGAUCCCACGGAAGGGUGUGCCAUGUAGAUACUAGACCUUCCAUGGUUUUGUGUGCGGUGACAUGGCCUCCCACGGUGCUGUGUGUGGGGCUGUAGGUCUCCCCUUUCUAGGCUUGGAUGUGCCCUGGGUCCCGUGUCUCUGUUUGUGUGCAUCCAGAUUUGGUUCCUGGGGUUCCUCAGACAUCUGCAGUCAGAGAACAACCGCCCACCUUGGGGUUCGUGCUUCCUCCACCUUGGCCCUGCAGGGUCCUUCCUGUGUCCACACCCGCUUCAGGGUUGGUCCAGAGUCUGGAAGUUCAGGAGUGACAGCAUGGACUCUGUAGACAGCUUUGGGGAGAGGAGGUAUAUUCCCAGUGUCGGUUCCUCCCUGAGAACAGAGUCUCCUGGACUCCGUGUGCCUCUCUCCAUGUCUGUCAUCAGUGUCUUACAGCUGUCAGAGGACAGGUCUGUCACCUCCUUGGUUCAAGGGACUCCUAGGAGUCUUGGUCUUUUGGAUGCAGUCGUAAAUGAGAUUGUUCUCCGUAGUCUCUUUCUGAUGGUUCCUUUGGAGCAUGUAGAAAUGCACGUGAUUAGUGUAUAUUGAUUUUGUUCCUUGCAAGUGUCUGGAAUUUAUGAGUUCUGUUUGCCUUGAACUCAAACUGGCAGUUAUUUGACCAGCCAGAUGGGUUUAUUUGGGAAGAGCAGAGAACGGCAGUCUGGGCUGAGCAAGC